GUAAGCUACUAAGAGUAAGUGGUGGAUGCCUUGGCUAGUAGAGGCGAUGAAAGACGUGCCAGGCUGCGAUAAGUCUCGGGGAGCCGUCAAGGGGCUUUGAUCCGGGAAUUUCUGAAUGGGGCAACCCAACUAAUAGAGAUAUUAGUUACCGUAUAACGGAGCGAACGAGGGGAAUUGAAACAUCUUAGUACCCUCAGGAAAAGAAAUCAAAAGAGAUUACGCUAGUAGCGGCGAGCGAACGCGUAAGAGGGCAAACCACUAGUUUACUAGUGGGGUUGUAGGACUGCAAUAUAGACUAAACUUAGCUAAUAGAACAACCUGGAAAGGUUAGGCACAGAGGGUGAUACCCCCGUAUAUGAAAGCUUUGUUUUACUUAGCAGUAUCCUGAGUAGGGCGGAACACGUGAUAUUCUGUCUGAAGCUGGGUAGACCACUAUCCAACCCUAAAUACUACUACUAGACCGAUAGUGCACAAGUACCGUGAGGGAAAGGUGAAAAGAACUGAGGUGAUCAGAGUGAAAUAGAACCUGAAACCAUUUGCUUACAAUCAUUCAGAGCCCUAUGAUUUAUCAGGGUGAUGGACUGCCUUUUGCAUAAUGAGCCUGCGAGUUGUGAUGUCUGGCGAGGUUAAGGAAACCCGGAGCCGUAGCGAAAGCGAGUCUUAAUAGGGCGUUUAGUCAGACGUUGCAGACCCGAAACGAUGUGAUCUAUCCAUGAGCAGGUUGAAACCGGUGUAAGAGCCGGUGGAGGACCGAACCCGCUAGCGUUGAAAAGCUAUGGGAUGACUUGUGGAUAGGGGUGAAAGGCCAAUCAAACAUCGUGAUAGCUGGUUCUCUCCGAAAUAUAUUUAGGUAUAGCGUCAUGUAGUAACACUAGGGGGUAGAGCACUGAAUGGGCUAGGGCAUACACCAAUGUACCAAACCCUAUCAAACUCCGAAUACCUAGUGUGUAAUCAUGGCAGUCAGGCGGCGAGUGAUAAAAUCCGUCGUCGAGAGGGGAACAACCCAGACUAACAGCUAAGGUCCCUAAAUCUCAUUUAAGUGGAAAACGAUGUGAAGUUACUUAAACAACCAGGAGGUUGGCUUAGAAGCAGCCAUCCUUUAAAGAAAGCGUAAUAGCUCACUGGUCUAGUGAUUCUGCGCGGAAAAUAUAACGGGGCUAAAAUGAGUACCGAAGCUUUAGACUUGCACUUAAUCAUUUAUACUUGGCUUGGCUUUUGAGCGUCUUUAAAUGAGCUCGUAAAAAUAAAUGCUCACGAACUAUAUGUUCGCUUCGCUUUAUUUUUACGUCGCAACAUUUAAAUCCAUCUCAAAAAUCCUGCGCCAUCUUGAGUUCAAAUUUGAACUAAAUGUCUUAAUCUAAAAUUCUAUAAAUUUCAAAUUUCUUAGAAUUUUAAAAUUUAGCAACAAAAAGCAAAAAGACAAAUAAAGCUUUUAAGAUAAAGGCGAAGUAAUUUUGUCUUUAGGCGAGGCGAAUUUUAGCAAAGCAAGGGAGUUAUCGUUUGGAUAAUGACCGAAGCUGAGCGAAAAUUCAACGAAGCAUAAAGCAAAAAGACAAGCCUAAGUAAAGUAUAAAUACUCAUAGACACUGUGGUAGGAGAGCGUUGCAUUCAGCGUCGAAGGUGUACCGGUAAGGAGCGCUGGAGCGAAUGCAAGUGAGCAUGCAGGCAUGAGUAGCGAUAAUUGGGGUGAGAAUCCCCAACGCCGUAAACCCAAGGUUUCCUACGCGAUGCUCGUCAUCGUAGGGUUAGCCGGGUCCUAAGCAAAGUCCGAAAGGGGUAUGCGAUGGAAAAUUGGUUAAUAUUCCAAUGCCAACUAUAAUGUGCGAUGGAAGGACGCUUAGAGUUAGAGGAGCCAGCGGAUGGUAGUGCUGGUCGAAAGGUGCAGGUUGGAGUUCAGGCAAAUCCGAACUCCUUUAAGCCGAGGCCUUAUAGGUGCGUGAAGUUCUUCGGAAUGAAUCGUAAAUCCUUGAUACUGUCGAGCCAAGAAAAGUUUCUAAGUUUAGUUAUAGUUGCCCGUACCGUAAACCGACACAGGUGGGUGGGAUGAGUAUUCUAAGGCGCGUGGAAGAACUCUCUUCAAGGAACUCUGCAAAAUAGCACCGUAUCUUCGGUAUAAGGUGUGCCUAACUUUGUGAAGGAUUUACUCCGUAAGCAUUGAAGGUUACAACAAAGAGUCCCUCCCGACUGUUUACCAAAAACACAGCACUCUGCUAACUCGUAAGAGGAUGUAUAGGGUGUGACGCCUGCCCGGUGCUCGAAGGUUAAUUGAUGACGUUAGCUCUGCGAAGCGUUUGAUCGAAGCCCGAGUAAACGGCGGCCGUAACUAUAACGGUCCUAAGGUAGCGAAAUUCCUUGUCGGUUAAAUACCGACCUGCAUGAAUGGCGUAACGAGAUGGGAGCUGUCUCGAAGAGGGAUCCAGUGAAAUUGUAGUGGAGGUGAAAAUUCCUCCUACCCGCGGCAAGACGGAAAGACCCCGUGGACCUUUACUACAGCUUGACACUGCUAUUGGGAUAAAAAUGUGCAGGAUAGGCGGGAGGCUUUGAUCCAUAGACGCCAGUUUAUGGUGAGCCAUUGUUGAGAUACCGCUCUUUUUUAUUCUGAUAGCUAACUAGCUUGAGUUAUCCUCAAGUAGGACAAUGUCUGGUGGGUAGUUUGACUGGGGCGGUCGCCUCCCAAAAUGUAACGGAGGCUUACAAAGGUUGGCUCAGAACGGUUGGAAAUCGUUCGUAGAGUAUAAAGGCAUAAGCCAGCUUAACUGCGAGACAUACACGUCAAGCAGAGACGAAAGUCGGUCUUAGUGAUCCGGUGGUUCUGUGUGGAAGGGCCAUCGCUCAAAGGAUAAAAGGUACCCCGGGGAUAACAGGCUGAUCUCCCCCAAGAGCUCACAUCGACGGGGAGGUUUGGCACCUCGAUGUCGGCUCAUCGCAUCCUGGGGCUGUAGUCGGUCCCAAGGGUUGGGCUGUUCGCCCAUUAAAGCGGUACGCGAGCUGGGUUCAGAACGUCGUGAGACAGUUCGGUCCCUAUCUGCCGUGGGCGCAAGAAGAUUGAGGAGAGUUGACCCUAGUACGAGAGGACCGGGUUGAACCGACCACUGGUGUACCAGUUAUCCUGCCAAGGGUAGCGCUGGGUAGCUAUGUCGGGAUGAGAUAACCGCUGAAAGCAUCUAAGCAGGAAGCCAACUCCAAGAUGAAUCUUCUUUUAAGAGCUCAUAUAGACUAUGUGUUUGAUAGGCUGGGUGUGUAAUGGAUGAAAGUCCUUUAGCUGACCAGUACUAAUAGCUCGUCUGCUUAUCUUUU
RNAcentral lists this ribosomal RNA (3297 nucleotides) under human oral metagenome. RNAcentral's name for it is "bacterial LSU rRNA". It matches the Rfam family "Bacterial large subunit ribosomal RNA". The record is from RNAcentral.